AACACGUGGGAACGUGCCUUUUGGUUCGGAACAACUCAGGGAAACUUGAGCUAAUACCGAAUGUGCCCUUCGGGGGAAAGAUUUAUCGCCAUUAGAGCGGCCCGCGUCUGAUUAGCUUGUUGGUGAGGUAAAGGCUCACCAAGGCGACGAUCAGUAGCUGGUCUGAGAGGAUGAUCAGCCACAUUGGGACUGAGACACGGCCCAAACUCCUACGGGAGGCAGCAGUGGGGAAUCUUGCGCAAUGGGCGAAAGCCUGACGCAGCCAUGCCGCGUGAAUGAUGAAGGUCUUAGGAUUGUAAAAUUCUUUCACCGGGGACGAUAAUGACGGUACCCGGAGAAGAAGCCCCGGCUAACUUCGUGCCAGCAGCCGCGGUAAUACGAAGGGGGCUAGCGUUGCUCGGAAUUACUGGGCGUAAAGGGAGCGUAGGCGGAUAGUUUAGUCAGAGGUGAAAGCCCAGGGCUCAACCUUGGAAUUGCCUUUGAUACUGGCUAUCUUGAGUGUGGGAGAGGUAUGUGGAACUCCGAGUGUAGAGGUGAAAUUCGUAGAUAUUCGGAAGAACACCAGUGGCGAAGGCGACAUACUGGCCCAUUACUGACGCUGAGGCUCGAAAGCGUGGGGAGCAAACAGGAUUAGAUACCCUGGUAGUCCACGCUGUAAAC
This 660-nucleotide ribosomal RNA is filed under the name Caulobacter sp. AR-340. Its description in RNAcentral is "bacterial SSU rRNA". It matches the Rfam family "Bacterial small subunit ribosomal RNA", at positions 112 to 807 of the family's 1533-position model. The record is from RNAcentral. Lineage: Bacteria; Pseudomonadati; Pseudomonadota; Alphaproteobacteria; Caulobacterales; Caulobacteraceae.